AUUGAACGCUGGCGGCAUGCCUUACACAUGCAAGUCGAACGGCAGCACGGGUGCUUGCACCUGGUGGCGAGUGGCGAACGGGUGAGUAAUACAUCGGAACAUGUCCUGUAGUGGGGGAUAGCCCGGCGAAAGCCGGAUUAAUACCGCAUACGAUCUACGGAUGAAAGCGGGGGACCUUCGGGCCUCGCGCUAUAGGGUUGGCCUAUGGCUGAUUAGCUAGUUGGUGGGGUAAAGGCCUACCAAGGCGACGAUCAGUAGCUGGUCUGAGAGGACGACCAGCCACACUGGGACUGAGACACGGCCCAGACUCCUACGGGAGGCAGCAGUGGGGAAUUUUGGACAAUGGGCGAAAGCCUGAUCCAGCAAUGCCGCGUGUGUGAAGAAGGCCUUCGGGUUGUAAAGCACUUUUGUCCGGAAAGAAAUCCUUGGCCCUAAUACGGUCGGGGGAUGACGGUACCGGAAGAAUAAGCACCGGCUAACUACGUG
This 486-nucleotide ribosomal RNA is filed under the name uncultured bacterium. RNAcentral's name for it is "partial 16S ribosomal RNA". It matches the Rfam family "Bacterial small subunit ribosomal RNA", at positions 30 to 507 of the family's 1533-position model. The record is from RNAcentral.